UUUCCAUUCUCAGGAGGGAGCAAUGCAAGUUCUUCAUCCUCUGAGCCGAAAUCAGAAUCAGAAUAAUCUUCCUGUUCUUGGUCCUCCAUAGGAGCCUGAUAUCCCAAACAGUAAAUACUUCCAUUCUUCCCAUUGUGGGAGAGCUCAAAUUCCUUUUCAAACACAAGAUCAAAUGAUAUCUGAGGGAACUUCUCUGCAGAGAGAAUUCCCAGAACAAGCUUCUGGCCAUUAAUCUUCACGAAAAGAGUCACGUGUUCAUUUGCUUUGUCCUUCUUUAAUUCACCUAGAGUCGCCUGUGAUAGAUGCACACACAUUUGAUCUUCAGGCUUCACAGAUAGUGCCUGACCGGGCUUAACUUCAACACCCCAAAACUCCAUU
RNAcentral lists this unclassified non-coding RNA (378 nucleotides) under Hevea brasiliensis (rubber tree). The record is from RNAcentral. Lineage: Eukaryota; Viridiplantae; Streptophyta; Magnoliopsida; Malpighiales; Euphorbiaceae.